This 301-nucleotide ribosomal RNA is filed under the name uncultured bacterium. Its description in RNAcentral is "partial 16S ribosomal RNA". It matches the Rfam family "Bacterial small subunit ribosomal RNA", at positions 509 to 807 of the family's 1533-position model. The record is from RNAcentral.
CAGUAGCCGCGGGAAUACGUAGGGUGCAAGCGUUAAUCGGAAUUACUGGGCGUAAAGCGUGCGCAGGCGGUUCGUUAAGACAGAUGUGAAAUCCCCGGGCUUAACCUGGGAACUGCAUUUGUGACUGUCGGGCUAGAGUAUGGCAGAGGGGGGUAGAAUUCCACGUGUAGCAGUGAAAUGCGUAGAGAUGUGGAGGAAUACCGAUGGCGAAGGCAGCCCCCUGGGCCAAUACUGACGCUCAUGCACGAAAGCGUGGGGAGCAAACAGGAUUAGAUACCCCGGUAGUCCCUGUCUCUUAUAC